UGACUCAGUUGGUAGAGCAUGGUGCUUGCAACACCAGGGUCGUGGGUUCAAAUCCCAA
This 58-nucleotide transfer RNA is filed under the name Salmo salar (Atlantic salmon). It matches the Rfam family "tRNA", at positions 8 to 63 of the family's 71-position model. Rfam says of the family: Transfer RNA (tRNA) molecules are approximately 80 nucleotides in length. Their secondary structure includes four short double-helical elements and three loops (D, anti-codon, and T loops). Further hydrogen bonds mediate the characteristic L-shaped molecular structure. tRNAs have two regions of fundamental functional importance: the anti-codon, which is responsible for specific mRNA codon recognition, and the 3' end, to which the tRNAs corresponding amino acid is attached (by aminoacyl-tRNA synthetases). tRNAs cope with the degeneracy of the genetic code in two manners: having more than one tRNA (with a specific anti-codon) for a particular amino acid; and 'wobble' base-pairing, i.e. permitting non-standard base-pairing at the 3rd anti-codon position. RNAcentral also lists the same sequence under 1 other name. Lineage: Eukaryota; Metazoa; Chordata; Actinopteri; Salmoniformes; Salmonidae. The record is from Rfam by way of RNAcentral.